This 479-nucleotide ribosomal RNA is filed under the name uncultured Flammeovirgaceae bacterium. RNAcentral's name for it is "bacterial SSU rRNA". It matches the Rfam family "Bacterial small subunit ribosomal RNA", at positions 28 to 505 of the family's 1533-position model. Lineage: Bacteria; Pseudomonadati; Bacteroidota; Cytophagia; Cytophagales; Flammeovirgaceae. The record is from RNAcentral.
GAUGAACGCUAGCGGCAGGCCUAAUACAUGCAAGUCGAACGAGAUUUAAGACUUCGGUUUUAAUGAAAGUGGCGCACGGGUGCGUAACGCGUAUGCAACCUACCUUUUACAGGGGGAUAGCCCGGGGAAACUCGGAUUAAUACCCCAUGGUAUCAUAAAAUCACCUGAUUUAAUGAUUAAAGAUUUAUCGGUAAAAGAUGGGCAUGCGUCUGAUUAGCUAGAUGGUGAGGUAACGGCUCACCAUGGCGAUGAUCAGUAGGGGUUCUGAGAGGAUGAUCCCCCACACUGGUACUGAGACACGGACCAGACUCCUACGGGAGGCAGCAGUAGGGAAUAUUGGACAAUGGGCGAGAGCCUGAUCCAGCCAUGCCGCGUGUAGGAUGACGGCCUUCUGGGUUGUAAACUACUUUUCUACAGGAAGAAAAAGACUAUGCGUAGUCAAUUGACGGUACUGUAGGAAUAAGCACCGGCUAACUCCG